Molecule: long non-coding RNA, 13173 nt
Filed under: Homo sapiens (human)
Lineage: Eukaryota; Metazoa; Chordata; Mammalia; Primates; Hominidae
Description: non-protein coding lnc-PLA2G2C-5:1
Source: RNAcentral
CUCUGGUUCUCGUCUCUGCCCUGCCGGAGACUGGGACAUCCUUUUCUCUCCCUGGGUCUGUGUCCCCGUCGCUACAUCCCAGCCUGGAGGGCAUGGCCCAGCGGUUGCAUAGGUCCCUCGGUUUCUGCAGAGCCCGGGAGUCACCCUAUUUUGGUAAAGGUGAGCUCUGGCCAGGCUUGCUUUGCCUCGGGAGCAGACUUUUCUCCAGGCUCCUCGCCUGUCUCCCGGGGUUUGCGUCCCCCGGGCUGGGUCUGGGGAGGCCCUCCCGGGUGAUGUGCUGGGGUCUCGGGGACUGGCCUCCCCCGGCCCCUUCCAGGCCUGGCGGAGGCCAAGGGCAGGCCGCGGGAUCGGGCAGCCGCUCUCACCUAGCCGUUCCGCUCCAUCCGCCGCCUGCGCCCGGGCUCUGUCCUGCUGGUAAACAACCCUGGUCUCCCGGGCAACGCCGCAGGGUGGGGGGCCACGUGCUUCCGGCGUGACCGGAACCGGCCUGGGUCGGGUGGGGUCGGGUGGGGUCGGGUGGGGGCCGCUGGGCCAGGAGGGCGGAGGCCGUGAACUCCAGGUCGGUGGAUUGCGAGCCUGGAGUGGAUUGCCUGGCCUGGAGGCGACAGGGACCCGCGGCCUCCUUCUCUCCUCCUCUUCCUAGCGUCACCGCCUCUGUUUCUCUCUGGGGGAGAGUGUCUGGGAGAGGGAGAGCCCUGGCCGGGGCAUGGAGGAGCGGGGAGCAGCACCACUAGUCUCAAAAUCCGUUUCUCACCUUGGGUCAGGCCCUGACCCUCUCAGUGUCCCUGGUUUUAAAAUGAGGCUGUGGGACUGAUGGAUUCUCGGAACCCUAAACUCUGAGUGGAUGCUUCUAGGGUAUCUGAGUUGCGGGGAGCAGGGCCCCCAUCCUCAGUACAGCCCUUUCAGCGCCAGUUCCCUGACCUCUUUUCACAUCAGCCUCCCACUCCGGGGCCACACUGGGAACCUUAUCAACAGCAUCUGCACCUCCUUUGAUGUCCCCAGCCACAAUCUCUUCCACUUCCAGCCACUUGAGUCACUUCCGCUGUAUCUGUUUUUCACCAUCUUUGGGUUUCCUGUCCAUUGCUGUCUCCGCUUUCCCCCUCGAUAUCAAUCUGCUUCUUCCCUAUCCUGGCCCAUUACCUCGGCAUUCUCAAAAGGAUCCUCCCUGCCCGAGUCCUACUCUCCUUCCAUCUGAUGAAACCUGAAGCCAAACCAGUCCACCUACACACGGGUAUUGAAGAAGUCUUGGCCAGCCACACACCUUGGUGUAACAGAAACACGAGGUCUCUAACCUCAGUUAGACUCUCAGCCCUGCACUUCCAUCCCCAACCGACCACUGGGUUCUCUCUCCCUCCUUUCUUCUUUUUCUUCCUUUUUUAAGGGGAGACAGGGUCUCGCCCCUUCACCCAGGCUGGAGUGCAGUGGUGCAAUCACAGCUCACUGCAGCCUGGACCUCCCCAGCUCAGCCUCCCUUGUAGCUGGGACUACAGGCGUGCACCACCAUGCUUGGCUAAUUUUUAUUAUUUUUUGUAGAAUGGGGUUCUGCCAUGUUGCUGAGGGUGGUCUUGAAGUCUUGGGCUCAAGUGAUCCUCCCGCCUCAGCCUCCCAAAGUGCUGAGAUUACAGACAUGAGCCACCUCGCCCAGCCUCUCCUUUCUUCUCAAUGGCUAUUUCAAAACGUUGUUUUGCUUGCGAAACCUCCCACCUCUCCCUCUCCCACCUCCCUCCCUCCUCCCUCUUAGAAGAUACCUUUACUGCCCUCUUCAGAGAGAAAAUAGAAGCCAUCAUAUGGAAACUUCCUCAGCCUUCUGCCAUCAGACCUGCAAACUUGCCUGCCUACACUUCCUUGCUUUCCUCCCUCCCUCCAGUUCUAAUGUCUUCUGAUUCUCUCCAAGGUGAAUUGCUCCUCCAUGGGUCGUGAAAGAAGAUCAUGUCAGUGGUGGUGUUUCUGCUCGUCUCAGAAGGGAAGUCUGUGACCCGUGGGAGUUGCUGGGGAGGGCCUGGUCUGGGCCAGGCCUCUUCUUUGGGUUGCCCCCUCACACACUCUGGUCAUCCAGGAAGCCUCUGUGGCCCUCGGAAUGUGUAAAAGAUGGUGGUUUUAGGAGCUGCUGGUUUUGCAACUGAGUGCUGACGGCUUAUUUCUUGUUAAUGAUUCUGUCAAAAGUGUCUUAGCGAUGCUCUUCAGCCCUUCAUCACCCACCCAAAAAAGAUUAAAGUGGAUUCUUCAUCAGCUAUUUUAAAAUCACCUAAGAAUUAUACAAUCCUUUGGAGAAUCAAAUUGGCUUCUCACCGUGUGUGUGUGUGUGUGUGUGUGUGUGUGUGCGUGUGCGCACGCACGCGCGCCUUUGCCAGUGCACAGUGAAAUGGCGGUCUGUUUAAUGUCAGCAGUACAUGCAGUUAACGUCAGCAGUACCUGCCUUUUGCUCUCCAGUGUUGUGUAAUGCCCAGCCCCAGGGGGAGGCAGGAGAGGAGGAAAGGAAGGCGCCAGUCCAUUGCUGUGCCUCUGCUGCCUUUGUGCCCGACCUUCUAUAAAGAGGAUGUCUUCAAAGGACAGACCUGAUAAUGCCUGGUGUCUGGCACAUACCCAGAGUGGAUCUCAGUAAACAUGGGCAGAGGUCAUUGCCCUGCCAGCUGAAAUGUGGACUCACCUUCCUUUCUAGCCAUGUCCCAAUCUACUCUCCAGCUCUCUCCCUGGGCUGCAGCCAGCUUGCUCCCCAGAUGGGCCCCAGCUUUUUCAUCUCCAGUGUCUUUGCCCAUGCCUGCCCCACCCUGCUCUCUUCCUUGAAGUUAAGCCAAAAUGACUGAUCCUUCAAGGCCCAUCUUAAAAGCCACCUCUUCCGUGAAGCCCUUUCCUGACCACAGCCUCCCCACAAAAGCUCAUGUGCUCUCUCUGGUCGCCUUUGGUCCAGUGGAACAUGCCCAAGAUGGUGCUGUGCACCCUCCCUAGGUCGGCUCCCUUCAUCUUCACAACGCUCCUUAAUGGAGGCAUCAUAGCCCUCCUUUGCUUUAGAAAACAGUGGAGCCUCAGGGUUCCCCCUGGUGAAGGAGCAGCAGAGCAAUUUUACAACCUGCAUCCAGCAGUUUCCAAAGCCCACCCUGGACCCCAGAGUCCCACCCCCAAGCUCCUCACCUGCGUGUUCCCCCAUGGCCCUUAUCUGUGCUGUCCGUUGCACUGGUCGUGGGGACUGCAGGCAUGGCCUCUGACGUCAAAGCUUGAGUAUCAAUCCUGGCUCCACCACUUGCCAGCUGAAGACGUUAGGUAAAUGAUUUACCUUCGCUGGAUGUCAGUUUCCGCAUCUCUAGAAUGGUGAUGAUAAGCACAGGAUUGUUGUGCGGCUGAAAUGAGGUAACACACGUGCCAAGUGCUUAGUGAGGGCUACUAACUCUUGUUGCAUCAUCUUCACUUACAGUGUACAUCUCCUUCAGUAGGUUAUGAGCUCCUUGAAGGCAGGAACUUGCCUGUCUCGGAAUCCCCUGCCUUGUCCACACAAUGCUUACUUUGUGAUACGUGCUCGGCAAUGAUGAUGGUGGUGCUGAUUCCAAGGCUAGCGUUUCCACUGAGCGAUCCAGCAAGCUGCUAACUGGUAUCCUCCCCAACCAUAUUUGGCUUGGGGUCCAAAUGACCUCCCCAGGGGCUUGCUGAAGGCGGGGGCCCCGGUUUCUUAGCGGCUUGUCCCCACAGAGUGUUUGGCCCCAUUUUGAAUUAGUGAUUUCUAGAUUUCAGAGUCUAUAGCCAGUGUCCUGCUCUGCCUGUCCUUGGUCUCAUUAGACAUGUGGAUUGAGAUCAUGGAUAACCUUUAAGCAGAAGGUGAACCAGGUGGAUAUUCUAGUAGCAAGGCCAAGAGGCUGGCAGUUAGUCAUGGCUCCUGUGAUCAGCUUCCUAAGGGGAUCUGCAAGAGGGAAGUUUCUGGAUGAUGAAACUUAACCCUUGAAGUACAGACAUGGGUCACUUAACCAUGGGGAUACAUGCUGACAACUUCAUUGCUAGGUGAUUUUUUCAUUGUGCAAACAUUGUGGAGUGUGCUUACCCAAACCUAGAUGGUCUAGCCUGCUACACACCUAGGUUAUAUGGUAUAGCCUGUUGCUCCUAGGCCACAAACCUGUACAGCAUGUUGCCGUUCUAAAUACUGUAACACAAUGGCAAUUGUAACACAAUAGUAAGUAUUUGUGUAUCCAAACAGAUCUAAACAUAGAAAAGGUACAAUUUAAAAUAUGGUAUAAAAGAUAAAAAAAAUGGUAUGCCUAUAUAGCGCAGCUACCUUAUAAUCUUAUGGGACCACCAUCGUAUGUGUGGUCUGUCAUUGGACCAAAAUGUCAUUAUAUGGUGCAUGACUGUACCACAGCUUUUUAUUAUUUUCCCCGUAUUGUUGGAAAAUAUCCAAAAAUGUAUAGCCUGCUUUCCAGUCUUGUUAAGCAGAACACAUCAAACACUGUAACUCACCUUGGCUACUGUUGACCAAGUAUUUUCACCUUCAGGAGCUUGUGGAAUCUUGCUGGCAUUCUGUGGGGGGCCAGAAUCAUUGUCUCCACCUCUCUAGUGGAGGAAGGUGAGGCUCAGAUUGUUUAAAUCUGUCAGGAAGUGGCAGAACAACUCCAGCCCUCUUCUUUGACAUAGGCCCCUGAGUUAGUUGCUCUCCACCCUUGCAGUCUCUUGCACAAUGCUACCUUUCCUUGGCAACUCGCAGUCAAUAAUUGUGCUCCAGGUGCACUAGUUUGAUGUGGAUGGAGUCAGCUGCCCCAGCACACAGUGACCCAGGCUUCUAGGCUUCGUUGAUUAUCGCUUUAAUCACCCCUUGCUUACCUUCCUAUUAAGAGAAGCUGCUCUGACUCCAUUCCUGUCCGGCUGCUGGGCCUGAGAAAUGAAGCUGAGCAGCUUGUUAGAACUGCAUCUAAAACAAGAGUCUAAGAGUGUUGUGAUACCUGCUUCGCUGCUUGGGCUGUUUUGGGUUUUGCCUUCUCGGUGGUGUUUUGGAUAGGCACGGAAGCAGGAGAGCUUUCAAGGAUUAGGAUUGCCAGCUAUGGAGUCAGACGCACCUGGGGUUAAGUCUGGGACCUCUCAGUUUGCAGGGCAAAUGACCUGACCUGUGCCAGCUUCAAUUACCCUUACUGGUAAACUGGAAUGAAUCGUAUAUGCCUCAUCGGGAGGAUUCGGGAGGAUUCAAGGAGAAUCCUAAUUCACAUCCUGUGCUUAGCCUCCUGUUGGUACUCAAGGGGUUGCAGUUAUUGUUUUUAUUUCUGCAACUUGAAGUAUGAUAAGACUCUUAACACUCAUUCACUCAUUCAUUCAUGCCUCAAAUAUUUAUUUACUGCCCAUCUCUCCAUGCCUAGUUUCCUUAUCUGCAAAAUGAGGGUAAUAAUGGCACUUAUCUAGCUAGGGGAUGUGAAGAUUUAGUGAGUAAAUAUAUGUAAAGUGCUCAGAACCCCUGCAAGGCAUAAGUGUGAUAUAUACGUUAGCCAUCAUCGUGGGUAGUAUUAGUUUGUGCCAGGCACUGAUAAGAAGGCACUAGGGAUAAAGAGGUGAACAAAACAGACCUGACCUCUGUCCUUAAUGAGCUUGCAGGCUCCAUCCAUCUUAUUUUCUCUAUGGGGAGGAAAGCCAACCAGUGUUUCAUUACUGUUGAUAAAAGCUGAAUUGAUGGGUCCAGGAAAGGACCCAGAUGGUGGCGUCUAGGGACCCUGCAACUUACUGGCUGCUGCCCUAGGGGCUGGCGUGGGAGGCCAUGCCAUGCUUUCUACAUUCUUGCCCCUCAUCAAGCCUCGGGCCCUCGGGUCCUGUGCUCUUGCUUUAGCUUCAGCACAAUCGUAGGCAGCCCCAAAUGACUUGUCAAAUGGAGAGAACCAUGCCUGAGUCAUAGCUGUGAAGGUCAGUGCAUGAAAAUGCCCUCAAACCUUCAAAAUGCCACACGAACAAGAGGUCUAGGCAGGGAGACUGGCAAGGAGAAAGAGCACUGGACUUGGAGAAAGGGACCAGAGUUUAAGUCCUGGCCCACUUCAUAGCUGUGUGGAUUUUUUCAGGUUACUUCCGCUCUCUGAGACUUGGUCUCCUCCUCUGUCAAAUGUGAAUGUGAUAGAACCUGCCUGGUAGGGUUGUAGUGAGGAGUAAACAGGAGCAGAGCAUAAACUUAAGGGGAAUUUAAGGCCUUCUCAAAUACCACCUCUCCUGGGAAGAUUUCUGUGACCUUCCCAAGAGAGUUCACUGCUCCUUCCUCUGAGCUCAGAGGCAUUUAUACAGUCACUGGAGCAGUGCUUAUCAUUCCACAUGGAUGCAGGCUGAGCUCCCUAGAAACAGACUCUGAUGCAAAAAAAGUAUGUUGCUGGGAGGCUCCAGGAGAUACAGCUGUAGGGAAGUGAGCAAGGGAAGAAUGGGGAGAGGGAGAAGCUGACAUGCAAGGGAGAAGCUGACAUAGAAAGAGAAGCUAACACACAAGGGAGAAGCUGGAACAGAGGGAGAAGCUGACACAUAAUGGAGAAGCUGGCACAGAGGGAGAAGCAUACACACAAGGGAGAAGCUGACAUAGAGGGAGAAGCUAACACACACACAGAGAGAAACUGACACACGAGGGAGAAGCUGACACAGAGGGAGAAGGUGACAUACAAGGAAGGGAGAAGCUGACACAGAGGGAGAAGCUGACACACAGAAGCUGACAUAGCAGAAGCUGACACACAAGGGAGAAGUUGACACAGAAGGAGAAGCUAACACACACACAGAGAAGCCAACAUAGAGGGAGAAAGUGACACAGAGGGACAAGCUCACACACACACACACACACACACACACACACACUGACAUAGAGGGAGAAGCUGACACACAAGGGAGAAGCUGACACACACAGAGAGAAACUGACAUAGAGGGAGAAGCUGACACAGAGGGACAAGCUAACACACACACACACACAGAAACUGACACAGAGGGAGAAGCUGACACACACAGAGAAGCCAGCAUAGAGGGAGAAGCUGACACAGAGGGACAAGCUAACACACACACACACACACACACAGAAACUGACAUAGAGGGAGAAGCUGACACAAAAGGGAGAAGCUGACAUGCAAGGGAGAAGCUGACACGGAGAAGCUGACACACACACAGAGAAGCUGACCUAGAGAGAGAAGCUGACACACAAGGGAGAAGUUGACACAGAGGUAGAAGCUGACACACACACGCACAGAGCCCAACAUAAAGGGAGAAGCUGAUACAGAGGAACAAGCUAGCACGCACGUGCGCGCGCACACACACACACAGAAACUGACAUAGAGGGAGAAGCUGACACAGAAGAACAAGCUAACACACACACACACACACACACACAGAGAAACUGACAUAGAGGGGAAGUUGACACACAGAGGCAGUUGCUGAGGCCACAGGGAGCUCUGGGGCUGGGACCGCCUUUCAGAGCUAUCCUGAAAAAGGCAAGGGAUGGCCCUUUAAACUAUCACCCCAGCCAGGGAUUGGCUAGAGACUCCUUCUCCUGUCUUCCCUGGGAGGGGCCAUAACCUUGGGCCACGCGGUACCUGCAGCAGAGAGUGGUUCUCAGUGAGGGACAGCGUCAGCAGCAGCUGGUACCCCAGCCCUGAAGAGGGGGCCUGCCAGGACUGUGUGAAGCAUUCGAGAACUAAUGGAGAACCAAACAGAAUUGCAGCCCACAUGGGGCUUUGGGGCUAUAUUUGGUCUCUGUUUACCUAUUUGGUCUCUCUAGCCAGCUUGGCAGCUUCCUUGGGUCAGAAUGUUCUCAUUAGAAGAGCUCAUAGUUGGUGCUUAAUAAGAGUCUAUCGGAUUUCAUGACCAGUAAUGCACCCAGGUCCCUUUCUUUGUUUCUCUAAAGUGUAUCACCUGCUCAUUCAAAAGAACUGAGCCCCUUUUUCGUGGGCUAAACUUGCACAUGAUUUUUUUUAGACUCAAAAGAGAAAAAGGAAGCAAGCCUGUAGAGACAGAACCUAAUUAAAAAACAUCCCGCACAGCAAUUGAAGUGAAGGUUGGCUGGGACCAGGCCUGGUCAGGGCCCGACCUCGCAGCAUCCACCAGAAUGUUGCCAAAGGGGGAAGAUAGCAAAGACACCCUGAUUAACUCUCCCAGGGAUCUGCAGCAGGAUGGUCAUUUUGAAGUUUUCCUUGGAAGCUUUGCCACCAGGUGUAAAUCUAGCCCAAGCUCUGCACCUGCCAACUUCUCUAGGCUCAACCGAGCUAUUGUUUCACACUCCAAGUCCUGACGUUACCAGAUUUAGCCUGAUUUAUGAUGGGGGCUAUAAAGACCACUUGUAUGUAAAGAAAGCCAUUGGCUGAUCCCUGGCAGCUCCAUGGCAGGGCUGCAACCCACAUUCUUCUCUACUGUUCUAAUAUGGGUAUCAUUACCCAUACUAAUCGGAAUAUGAAUUCUGUGUCUACCUAUGACUGCAUUUGAUAGUACAAAACAGUUUUACUUUCAUUAUUCCAGCAGGUCCCACAAUGGGCCUGUGAAGUAGACAGCUAUGUGAUCAUGAGGAAUUUGUUCACCCUCUCUGGGUCUCGGUUUACCCAACUUCAAAAUGAUAAUAGAACCUCAGAAGGAGUUGUAAGGGUCAAACCAUGUAAUACCUGUGAAGCCCUUAAAAUAAAGGCUUGAAAUUAUUGACAGGAAUUUCUAGUCUCACUCUGCAAGAGAAGAAACCAAGGUGCAGAGAGGUAAAGUUGAUGAAUAUGAUGCCUGGGUAUCAAGGAAGGAAGGCACUGUGGGACUAGAUGCAAACCAAGCUAGGAAUUCCUGUGUGGGAUUUCUAUUAUGAACAACAUAGGUGCCUUUCCAACUCGGGAACAGAGGAAAUAUGGACUCCUCAAAAGAAAAAAAGAAGAGAUGAAGGGAUGAUGUUGCCAAAGAAAGAAAUUUGGAAAAAAAAAAACCAAACCAACAUUUGCACUUUCAAAACCAUGGAACCCUUCUUAUUUUUAUAUGUUCAGAUCUAAAUGCCAGAAAGGUUACCACAUUCAAAGGGAAUGAGAUUUGAAAAUGAUUUCUUUGAGUCCUCUGCUGAGGUCUUUCCAAGGCACUACAAUUAGGGCUUUGCACCCAAAUACCCUUGCCUCAUUUUGGUCAUUUUGUCCUGGAACAGAGGUUCAGCUGGGAGACCCCUCACACACAGGUGAAGGCGUGGCUGUAGAACCUCAGACCCCCUGGUCUCCUCAGGAAUGAAGGUCAUUGCCAUCCUCACCCUCCUCCUCUUCUGCUGUAAGUAGAGAGCUUGGUGGGUCAGCACCAAGCUUCUGUCUUCCUGUUUAUGUCAGUGGGAGGGGGGACUCUCCAGGUGGCACCAGGUGAGGGAAGUCACAAGUCCCGCAGAAAAGAAUCAGGAAAGGAACGGGCUCCCACCAACGUCCUCUUGCUUCUGUUUCUGCUAUAAAAUGGGCUGAUCCCAGUGUUGGGAUCUUAUAAAGUGUCUAGGAAAUCAGAGGUUGCCAACCAUUUGCUAGAAAGGGAGUUUGACUACUAUUUUACCCCCCUCACCCUCAAGAGUCUUUUUUCCUUUGGAUGCUAGUAGCCUUUAUUUAAGGCCAUUUGGAUUCAGAACAAAAAUGCAGACAUAUAUCCAGCUAAUUUAAGAAUGAUUAAUGCUUAUCAGAAAGACAUUUUUAUGGUGACUUAUGGGAUAAUUGGUAGUUAUAAGUCAUUGCUGCCGGGAGAUCCGAUUGCUUACCUCUGCAAAGUGAAGAAAGACCUACUGGGAAACAGUUUGGGGUCUACUGGAGACUGAUAGACUCUUUUGCUGGAUUCGUUGAGUGGAGGUUUGUCCAGAUCCAUUUUCCUGUCUCUUUCAAUUGAGUCACAAUAACUUUUGAGUCCCUAAGUCAAAGAUGUCAAAAACAGACUUCCUUUCCCCACAGUGAGUGGUGGAAUUUACACUUUGCAAGGUGAUAGUGCAGGAGGAUACCUGUACGCAGGGAUGACCGCCUCUGCAGCCCCUCAGUGCGGCUCCAGGGACUGCUUGGGCAGCAGUGACCGCCCAUGGGUUUCUUCCGCCACACCCCCGUUUAGACUGAACACGAUAGUGAGAUCGAAGGCACCUGAGAAAACUCCCCCAAACUCUAUUUCUGUUUCUCUUCUUCAAGUUCAUGUCUUUGUUGUAUUUUUAUUGCAAAUUUACUACAUGCUUAUAGUUAAAAAGUAAAAUAAAUGAGUAUAUAGCAACAAGGUAAAGCUCCUCCUCAUCCUCCCCAGACCCCAGUUUUUUCCCUACAUCCAGAUGUGACCACUCUUAAGAGUUUGAUAUACAUCCUCUAUACAGCGUUUACCCACACACAUUCAAAACACCAUAAUAGGAAGGGAACACAUGCUGGGCCGGGCGCGGUUGUUCAUGACUAUAAUCCCAGCACUUUGGGAGGCCGAGGCGGGCGGAUCACCUGAGGUCAGGAGUUCGAGACCAGCCUGGCCAGCUGGCCAAGAUGGUGAAACCCCGUCUCUAUUAAAAAUACAAAAAAUUAGUCAAGCAUGGCAGUGGGCACCUGUAAUCCCAGCUACUCAGGAGGCUGAGGCAGGAGAAUUGCCUGAACCCGGGAGGCGGAGGUUGCAGUGAGCCGAGAUCACACCAUUGCACUCCAGCCUGGGUAACAACAGCGAAACUCCGUCUCAAAAAAAAAAAAAAAAGAAGGAAAGGGAACACACGCUUAUUAUGAAAAGACAUGAGACAGCGGAGACGUGUAUAAAAUGAAUGUUGCCUGUUUCUUUCUCUCUCUUCAAUCCCAAUUGCCUAGAGAUAGUGCUAUCAAAUGUAGUUUAUUUUUGAGACACAUAAUUUUGUUAUUAUCCCCCUGUCGGUGGACAUGUGGGUGGUUUCCAAUUUUUUGAUAUCACAGAUAAUGCUUCAGGAAACCAUUUUGUGUAUGCAUUUGUGCCCACUCUCAUAAGCAUCUUGUAGAAGCAAAAACAGCUGAGUUCAUGUGUACUUGUCAUUUAAAAAAAUAAUAAUUGAGGAUACCUUUCCUGCCUCUUAAGUAUUUUGUUUCUCCUGUGAGAUAGUAAAGGCCUGAUGACAUCUGGAGGGACUGGCGUUUCUGGCUUUGAACUUUUGCCAUUCAUGUUGCAUCAGACCCGAGGGUGUUCUGCCUAGAACUGUGGUUUCUUGCUUUGAGGGGGAAGACUAUGGUUGAUGGGAAAGCCUUGUUCUGAACCUCAUGGAAACUGGGUAUUCAUCUGGGUUAGCAAAAAACUAGCUGUGUUACAGGGGCAAAUCUGAACCUAUUUUAUUCCCCAGGAAAGAGGCUGGUGAUUCCAGCCAUGCCCCUUGCACUUCGCUUUGGGGAUCUGGUGAUAUUUCGAAUGCUCAGCACUCUAGUAAGGGGAGGGGACAUCAAGGCAGCAUCAUGCUCAUUGCAACUUCCUUCUUCCUUUUUUUCUCAUCGGUGGUGGCAGCCCCCACCCACAGCAGUUUCUGGCAGUUUCAGAGGAGGGUCAAACACAUCACGGGGCGAAGUGCCUUCUUCUCAUAUUACGGAUAUGGCUGCUACUGUGGGCUUGGGGAUAAAGGGAUCCCCGUGGAUGACACUGACAGGUGGGUGCAGAGGCUCUAAGGCCACUUAUCAUUUGUUUUGCAUUAAAGUUCAUGCUCAAAGCCAGAGAGAGGGUGUUAGGAUUCUUGCCUGGCAAAUAACAGAAAACAACUCAGGCUAAUGGAAGGAAGAACUGAACGGGAUUUGGAGGAUGGGUCUUGAGAAACCCAGGGUCGGGGCCAGCUUCUUGAGUGUGUGACCUGUGAAGUUUCACAGGGCCCAACACUCAUAAGGGUCAGGGCCAGCUUCUUGAGCGUGUGAUCUGUAAAGUUUCACAGGGCCUGGCACUCAUAAGGGCCUAAACAUGGUUUACUGCUCUGCUGCCACCAUCUUGAAAUUCUUAAUAAAGGGCCUCAUGUUUUCAUUUUGCUUUAGUCUCUGCAAUUAUGCCGUUGGUCCUGCCCAGAGCUCUAGAAGCUGUUUCAUCCUCAUAGUAAAAGUGCUGUGCUUUCAGCUCUCCAGCUUUUAGGACUAUAGGCACAGCACAACUGACUCACUAGUCCUAAUUCCAUAUUCUAGGAGAGGGAAUCCAAGUGGCCCAGUUUGGAGAAGUUGUCCAUCUGGGUGAGGUUGCAUGGCACAAACCUGGCUUCAGGCCUACUCCAAAGGAUGGGGGUGGGGGAGUGUGAGUUCCUAGAAAAAGUAGAGGUGGGUGUCAUCUGGUGAAUGUACGUGUGGGGAGGUAAGAAACGGGACAGUUUGCGUGUCAAUUCAUUUGAAGACAUAAGAAAGCAAAAUGUUCCUUGCCACAUUUAACCUAGUAUGGAGAAACAUGUCCCCACAGUGGGGCCUUAAAUAUCACUCCUGGAGCUCGAGUCUUGUGGGUGGGGCUCAUGGAACCAUGGGAGGACCUCAGAGCCUUGGAAGGGCAACUGACGCUUAUGAAAUGCCCUUAUGUGCCAAGCACUGGGACUGGCGAUUGGCAUACAAACCUAAUUUAAUUCUCGCAGGGAAUGCACGAGACAGUGAUACCAGCCCAUUUGACAGGUGAGGACAGUGAGUUGCUAAACCACCUCCUAAAGGCAAUGCAGCUUCUAAGUGGCAGAGUUAGGAUUGAACGAGAAUUUGCCUAUUUCAAAGUUUGUCCCCUCUCCUUGAUGGUCUGUGCCUCCCCUGUCAAAGUCCAAAGGCUGAUUAGAAAUUGAACAUCAUUAGCCAAAGCUGAUCAACAGCAGAGCCCCCACUUGCAGAUGGGAAUGGUGAGAGAGGGAGACUGAAACAUUUUUCUUGGCCUUUCAGGCCUUAGAAUCCAAGCUUAAGUUUCUGCCUUCCUGUCCCUUGUGUAGUGGUUGAGGACAUGGACUGAGCCCAUGCUCCAGAUGGUAUUUCUCCUCCAGUGCUCUCCCAUCCAGCCCCCAGCCAACUCUGGGUGCCAUGAAUGGGACUACGUCGGCUUUUACAGACAGUUGUCUCCUCAGAGACCGUUACAGUGCCUGACUCACAGUAGGUGCUCAGUAAAAAGUGUUAAAUGAAUGAAUGGGCCUAGGUUUGUGUCCUGGGUCUAUCAUUCUCCAGCUGCCUAAGUUUGGGAAAUUGGCCUCUUGGAAUCUCAGUCCCUCCCCUACAAAAGGGCAGCAAUGAUUGUACUUUAUAGGUUUCUAUGAGUAGCUAAUGAGAUAGCAACAGAUACUAGAGAGGGCUCAGGAAAUGCUACUGGUUAUUA